UGAGUAUUUAUUGUUAUGCAGUGUUUUCACCAGUUGAAAUUAACUCCUUGUAAAUGUUCUCAAGAAAUAAGAGUAGAUUUCUGUUUAUUCUUUGCAAGUCAAAAGCGUGAAUUGUUUCAGUAACAUUU
Molecule: non-coding RNA, 128 nt
Organism: Erinaceus europaeus (western European hedgehog)
Lineage: Eukaryota; Metazoa; Chordata; Mammalia; Eulipotyphla; Erinaceidae
Source: Rfam